UACGUAGGUGACAAGCGUUAUCCGGAAUUACUGGGCGUAAAGCGCACGCAGGCGGCUAAGAAAGUCUGACGUGAAAUCUCCCGGCUUAACCGGGAGCGGUCGUUGGAAACUACUUGGCUUGAGGCGAUGAGAGGGGUGUGGAAUUCCCGGUGUAGUGGUGGAAUGCGUAGAUAUCGGGAGGAACAUCAGUGGCGAAAGCGGCACCCUGGCAUUAGCCUGACGCUCAGGUGCGAAAGCGUGGGGAGCGAACGGG
RNAcentral lists this ribosomal RNA (253 nucleotides) under uncultured bacterium. Its description in RNAcentral is "partial 16S ribosomal RNA". It matches the Rfam family "Bacterial small subunit ribosomal RNA", at positions 524 to 776 of the family's 1533-position model. The record is from RNAcentral.